AAGUCGUAACAAGGUUUCCGUAGGUGAACCUGCGGAAGGAUCAUUAACACGUUUUUUUAAACCAAAACGUACUAAAACUCUGUGAACGAGAUUUCCGAAUAUUAAUCUCAACUAAUAAUAUUAUUAAUAAUAUUAAUAAUAUUAUUAGGAUUAUAUUUGGGUAACAUAAAUCUCACUAUUUUUAUUCCAAUAUCACCAACCCCUAAAACUACUUAAUACUAUAUGGUGAAAUAUCCAUAUAUGUAUUCUGUAUGUUUGUAACUAAACUUUUUCUUCAUUUCAUGCCUAAAAAACAUGAAAGCAAAAGGAUAGUAUUAUCUUCGGAUAUACUUUAUCUUUUUAUGAACCAAAACUGUUGUACAACUCUUAGCAACGGAUAUCUUGGUUCCC
RNAcentral lists this unclassified non-coding RNA (390 nucleotides) under fungal sp. Its description in RNAcentral is "partial internal transcribed spacer region". The stretch from base 1 to 46 matches the Rfam family "Eukaryotic small subunit ribosomal RNA", at positions 1786 to 1831 of the family's 1831-position model. The record is from RNAcentral. Lineage: Eukaryota; Fungi.